GUCGAGCGGGGAAAGGUAGCUUGCUACUUGACCUAGCGGCGGACGGGUGAGUAAUGCUUAGGAAUCUGCCUAUUAGUGGGGGACAACAUCUCGAAAGGGAUGCUAAUACCGCAUACGUCCUACGGGAGAAAGCAGGGGACCUUCGGGCCUUGCGCUAAUAGAUGAGCCUAAGUCGGAUUAGCUAGUUGGUGGGGUAAAGGCCUACCAAGGCGACGAUCUGUAGCGGGUCUGAGAGGAUGAUCCGCCACACUGGGACUGAGACACGGCCCAGACUCCUACGGGAGGCAGCAGUGGGGAAUAUUGGACAAUGGGGGGAACCCUGAUCCAGCCAUGCCGCGUGUGUGAAGAAGGCCUUUUGGUUGUAAAGCACUUUAAGCGAGGAGGAGGCUACCGAGAUUAAUACUCUUGGAUAGUGGACGUUACUCGCAGAAUAAGCACCGGCUAACUCUGUGCCAGCAGCCGCGGUAAUACAGAGGGUGCAAGCGUUAAUCGGAUUUACUGGGCGUAAAGCGCGCGUAGGUGGCCAAUUAAGUCAAAUGUGAAAUCCCCGAGCUUAACUUGGGAAUUGCAUUCGAUACUGGUUGGCUAGAGUAUGGGAGAGGAUGGUAGAAUUCCAGGUAGUAGCGGUGAAAUGCGUAGAGAUCUGGAGGAAUACCGAUGGCGAAGGCAGCCAUCUGGCCUAAUACUGACACUGAGGUGCGAAAGCAUGGGGAGCAAACAGGAUUAGAUACCCUGGUAGUCCAUGCCGUAAACGAUGUCUACUAGCCGUUGGGGCCUUUGAGGCUUUAGUGGCGCAGCUAACGCGAUAAGUAGACCGCCUGGGGAGUACGGUCGCAAGACUAAAACUCAAAUGAAUUGACGGGGGCCCGCACAAGCGGUGGAGCAUGUGGUUUAAUUCGAUGCAACGCGAAGAACCUUACCUGGUCUUGACAUAGUAAGAACUUUCCAGAGA
This 952-nucleotide ribosomal RNA is filed under the name Prolinoborus fasciculus. Its description in RNAcentral is "bacterial SSU rRNA". It matches the Rfam family "Bacterial small subunit ribosomal RNA", at positions 61 to 1006 of the family's 1533-position model. The record is from RNAcentral. Lineage: Bacteria; Pseudomonadati; Pseudomonadota; Betaproteobacteria; Neisseriales; Neisseriaceae.